UAUGAUACUCGUACUUUAGGAGAGGAGCAAGAGUCUGAAGAUGACUUGGACGAUGAUGCUGAAGCAUACUAUAGAUUAGUUAAUGAUGGACGCCAAGAGUUGUACCCAGGUUGCAAAAGAUUCUCGAAGCUGCAAUUUUUGGUGAGGUUGCUUCACAUCAAGAAUAUGAGGGGAGUGGGCAAUGUCUGCUUUGAUGAGGUAUUGACGCUAAUUAAGGAGGUACUUCCAGAAGGUGAGGCCUUGCCCAAAAAAUUUCAUGGGGCCAAAAAGUUUGUGAGAGCCAUUGGUAUUGGUUAUGAUAGUAUAGAUGCAUGCAAAAAUGAUUGCAUUCUAUUUAGGAAGGAACAUGCUGAUGCCAUAUCAUGUCCAGUGUGUGGCACAAGUAGAUGGAAGAGCGUAAAUACUGGAGUUGAUGGAAGGCGUGUCCACAAGGUGCCUCAAAAGGUGGUUCGUCAUUUCCCGCUAAAGAAGAGACUCCAAAGGUUGUUCGCUUCUACAAAGACGGCAUCAGAUAUGAGGUGGCACAACGAAGGCCGCACAAAGGACGGCAAGAUACGACACCCAGCUGAUUCACCUGCAUGGAAACACUUUGAUGCUAUUCACAAAGACUUCAGUUCAGAAGUUUGCAACGUUAGAUUUGGAUUGGGAGCUGAUGGUUUCAACCCUUUUGGAAAUAUGAAUCUCUCAUAUAGCAUAUGGCCUAUCAUCUUGAUCCCCUACAACCUUCCUCCAUGGAUUUGUAUGAAGCAAUCAAACUUUAUCCUCUCUAUCAUCAUUCCUGGUAAAAAAUCUCCAGGGAAAGACAUGGAUGUUAGCUAACCAACAAAACAAUAGCGAGAAUGUGGAUCCCAACAAAACAACUACUGGAACUCAGGUGACCAACCAUGAGACUGGUUGCAGUACUUCAGAAGCUGCAGUGAGUAAUACACUGAAGAGAAAGAAGGUUUCUGAAAUAACAAGAAUGAGAAAAGCUACUCAAGCAAUCUCUGCUACAACCGGAAUCAACAUACUUAGGAAUUCGGGCAGGGAAACAUGAAAGAUGGUCAUAGAUGCCAUCCGAAAGUCGAAGUUGAAGGUGACACACAUCUGAUUGGUUUCUGUACUUCUAAUUGAUUGCAUCAAGCUGGAACGCUCUUUACAUUGUUUUUACAACAGUAGGCAGUGUACCUCUGUGUUACAUUGUUAUCACAACAGUAGGCAAUGUACUUGUGUUACAUUGUUGGCCCUGUGUUGCUGAUUGAUACUUUGAUGUCGUUUUCGAAUUUGUGAAGAUGUUCUAAUGCUUUAUAUUAUUCGCUUGUACGAUGGUACUUCUAGUC
Long non-coding RNA from Triticum aestivum (bread wheat), 1319 nucleotides. RefSeq lists it as uncharacterized. The transcript is spliced from 2 exons. The record is from RefSeq and is a predicted model, not a curated record. NCBI's taxonomy places the organism in Eukaryota, Viridiplantae, Streptophyta, Magnoliopsida, Poales, Poaceae.